AGGCAAUAGCGGUAGACGCUUAAUUUUGUUAACCCCGUCAGGUUCGAAAGAAAGCAGCGGUACCUUGAUUGGCGGGUUACGGCUAUUGUCUUUA
RNAcentral lists this signal recognition particle RNA (94 nucleotides) under Alphaproteobacteria bacterium. RNAcentral's name for it is "signal recognition particle sRNA small type". It matches the Rfam family "Bacterial small signal recognition particle RNA". From Rfam's summary of the family: The signal recognition particle (SRP) is a universally conserved ribonucleoprotein involved in the co-translational targeting of proteins to membranes. Archaeal SRP consists of a 7S RNA and homologues of the eukaryotic SRP19 and SRP54 proteins. In most bacteria, the SRP consists of a 4.5S RNA and the Ffh protein (a homologue of the eukaryotic SRP54 protein). Lineage: Bacteria; Pseudomonadati; Pseudomonadota; Alphaproteobacteria. The record is from RNAcentral.